UCCUACGGGACGCAGCAGUGGGGAAUAUUGCACAAUGGGGGGAACCCUGAUGCAGCGACGCCACGUGGGUGAAGAAGUCAUUCGUGACGUAAAGCCCUAUCAGCAGGGAAGAAAAUGACGGUACCUGACUAAGAAGCCCCGGCUAACUACGUGCCAGCAGCCGCGGUAAUACGUAGGGGGCAAGAGAAAAACGGAUUUACUGGGUGUAAAGGGAGCGUAGACGGCGGCGCAAGUCCGGAGUGAAAGCCCACGGCCCAACCGUGGGACUGCUCUGGAAACUGUGCGGCGUGAGU
This 293-nucleotide ribosomal RNA is filed under the name uncultured bacterium. Its description in RNAcentral is "partial 16S ribosomal RNA". It matches the Rfam family "Bacterial small subunit ribosomal RNA", at positions 337 to 647 of the family's 1533-position model. The record is from RNAcentral.